AACGUACGCUGGCGGCAUGCCUAACACAUGCAAGUCGAACGAUGGUCUUCGGAUCAUAGUGGCGCACGGGUGCGUAACGCGUGGGAAUCUGCCCUUGGGUUCGGAAUAACAGUUGGAAACGACUGCUAAUACCGGAUGAUGUCGAUAAGACCAAAGAUUUAUCGCCCGAGGAUGAGCCCGCGUCGGAUUAGCUAGUUGGUGGGGUAAAGGCCUACCAAGGCGACGAUCCGUAGCUGGUCUGAGAGGAUGAUCAGCCACACUGGGACUGAGACACGGCCCAGACUCCUACGGGAGGCAGCAGUGGGGAAUAUUGGACAAUGGGCGCAAGCCUGAUCCAGCAAUGCCGCGUGAGUGAUGAAGGCCUUAGGGUUGUAAAGCUCUUUUACCCGGGAAGAUAAUGACUGUACCGGGAGAAUAAGCCCCGGCUAACUCCGUG
RNAcentral lists this ribosomal RNA (436 nucleotides) under uncultured bacterium. RNAcentral describes it as "partial 16S ribosomal RNA". It matches the Rfam family "Bacterial small subunit ribosomal RNA", at positions 29 to 507 of the family's 1533-position model. The record is from RNAcentral.